AACAACUCAUAUCUCUAGGUUUGAAGAAUAUAAGAUAUUAUCGUCUCAUGAUCACUCGUGAUAAAAUCCAUGAAGUGAUUCCAAUGAGCGCGGGUUGAAUCCAAUACUCAGAACUUAUGAGCACUCAUGAGUGUUGUAGCCCUUUGUCCAACACCUUAGACCUCUACAAGCCAACCCAUGACAGUCUUAAUUCAUAUCUACUUCCAACAUAUGACCGACUGUGGAUGGUUUGAAUAACUUAGUCAUUCCGGAAGAAUAACCUAGUUUAUUCGGGAAGUCAAAACAUGCAAAGUGAAACACAAUAAUAAUUGAAUCCAAUAUGGUAUCAACCCUUUGAACAUAAAUAAAACACCUUUUAUUUAUCACCAUAUGAUUACACAUUAUUCAUUGUAUACUGUUUCAGCUAUCAACUUUAUUCUUGAAUUUAAAACAAUAGUUGUCCCAUGCUCCAAGCAUGUACACUAUGUUUUCUUAAACACUAGUCAUGCCACACACCAAGUAUGCAUACUAUGUUUGUCUAUGAUCUUUACUUUGUGAACUAGAUCAAUUGAACAUAACUUCAAUGAUUCUCUUUUCACACUCCCAAAUCCUUACUGCAAAUGCAAGAAUUCCAAAUUCAUGCCAUUUACUGAAAUCUGUUAGAUUCUAAACUUAUAUGCAUUGAUCCUCUUGUAAUGAUUAUGCACAAAGUCACAAAGACUUGGCAACAAUCAUUACAGAGUAUUCCAAAGGAGAUCAACUCCUUGGAAAUAUCCUUCUUGCAUUAAGUUUCCUUAAUCUUACACAGAUUGAAAAUUCUAACUUUGAAACAUUUCCAGAUUCCAUUUUGACUAUCACUUCUGAACAAGAGUUGCCUCCUUACAGAUUAUGUCAAUAUGGUCCUUCCAGAAUUAUCACUAUACUUCCAAUUGUCCUUGAGUAACCAAUCUUUGGUAAACCUUAGAUUGUCCUCGACAAUUGUUUAAUCCUUUUAGUCAUAUCCAGUUCUAAACCUUUUCCCUUCUUAAUGCCCCAGGCAUUUGGAAAAUUUUAGAACGGAUGAAUAUAGCACAUGUAAUCGAUCCUAUAUCCGAAGCAUAUGGGACACGAUUCAUGAUGUCUUACAUAAAGACUAAACCAGUCUUUUGCUAUAAUAUUUCCAUUUCAAUUUGCCAAGUUCUCAUAAUUCAGAUUAUGAAAAGGGAUGCCGUAAUCAUAAUCGAAUUUUAGAACGCAAAUAAUGGACCCAUAUACAGAAUUUCCUUAUGUUGAGCCAUUCCAACAUGAAAUUCAUAUAUAUCCUUGACUAAAUGAUUAAAACCUCACGAUCUAAGCUUAUAGAUUUGAGAUGAAGCAUAAUUUCCUCUCCCUUAAUUAUAGCAAAACAACUUUUUCCCAAUUGAAACUUUUGUUUUCUAUAAUUAACAUUGCUAACUUGCAAUACUUAUCAUAAUUAUCAUGCUCCCACUAACAUGAUGAUUAUUAGCAUAACACUUAUGCUCCCACUAGCUUUGACAUGUACUCAGAAAUCAGCUGGACAGUCUGAAAUUUAGAUUCAUACACCCUUUCCGUAGAUAGCUCACCUGUGUGUCUAAGCAAUUUCAAGAACCAUGAAAAGGGAUACCGUAAUCAUGGUCUCAAUUGCUUAGGCAUUUGCCAUUUCUCACAAGUCCAUGUUAGUGUGCCGGUUAACCACACGCGCUCCACUAACGACUUUUGAAAAUGCAAAUAACACAAUUGAUAUCUUCGUAAAAUCUACUUAGUGAAAGCGUUUCCUCACCAUCAUUUUCAUGAAUCGGAGAGAAACCUUAUGACACUUAGAUUUAUAUGGUGUAUGAGUUCCUACCCAUAUGAAUUUGUCAAACCAUAAUCACAAGACAAAGAUAAUGACAAAUCCAAAACCAUAUGGAUUGAACUCAAUCUUAACUUCUUGCCACCUGGCAGCUCAAGGGCCUGCCAUUGCUUCCAAGUUGUUGUGCAACAAAUUGAGAACUCUAAGAACUCAUAUGCAAAACCAACUUUAACUGGAAUGGGCACAGAAUAUGUCAACACGAUAGGUUAUGAACCUCAAGUCGUGUGCUAGUGAAGAACUUUAGGUUUUAUUCUUGAUUAUUUCUUGAGACUUUCAAGACCUUUAAGACUCCCACUGUCCUCUUGACAUAUAAGACUCCCUUGUCAAACAUCCAAGAGAUAGUGCGGAUUCUAAUCAAGAAAAACACUUUACCCAAUUGGCCUAAGUUGGUCUUUGUUUUAUCCAAAACAUCACAACUUACCAAUUUCAAAUGUACAAGAGUAGAAAACUUUUACUCUUACAUUUGACAAGUGUUUUAAACCUUCUUUAAGACAUGUCACUCAAAUGACAAUCUUGGAGUAUGACUCUAAGACUUGUAUUGGAACGAAGUAUGACUCAUCUUCUUGAUUUAACCAUUUCAACAAUUCAAGUUCCUCUUCUUAGUCAUAAGAAUGCACUAAGAUUUCCUUAGAGAACUAAUUUUGAUAUGGUUUCUUAAUCAUUAAGAUGAUCACAAAACUGAUACUAAAGUACUCUCCCAUCUUUUCAGAUUUGAGAAACUUUUAUCCUUCUGCCUUAUUUGAUUCUUCUUAUCGAUCUUUAGUGGUGGACUUAAUCAGUGCACAAGAAUGUGUACUCGAUCCCUAAGUCCUUUACUUGACUCACACAUCCAUGUGAACAAGUAAUUAGUCUUAAUUUUCCAAAACUUGAAAGUUCUCAUUCAUCAUGCUAUACAACUUGCAUGAUUCCAAGUUCCGGUCCAAUUGAAACUUGGGUGAUGAGAAUCUUUCCUUAUUUGGUAAAUUUAGACAUUACCACAAAUGAAAGAAUCAAUUUCAUACUUCCACUCUUGCUACUAAUGGAAUCUUAUAAGCAACAAAAAUUUCCACAGAUGCCAUUGUAAGGAUAUUUUAAAAUAAAUAAAAUCAAAAAUUUCCUUUUAUUUUAAAACUUUGCGGAAAAACUAUCCUUACAAUCCAUAUGAAAACUUGUUGUUAUCUAUUCCUAAGCAAUAUCUCAUAACUCCUAAGAAGUAGCUCAAGAAUCCGAUUUUUCAAACUAUGCGAUAGAAAUCCAUCUAUGCGAUCAGAUUCAGCAUAUUCUUCCUUUAAGUUUCUUCACUUUCCUUUGAUUCUUAAACCAUCACCAUGCGACCCGGUCACAUCAUGUAUCAAGAAUCUCAGAAUAGAAACUUAACAGAGUUAGAUAGUGGAUUUUACCUGAAGUAGAGUCAAACUUAUUGACUUUAACAUCCUUAGGUAAAUUUGGCAGCUUCGCAACCAAUGCCCUUUCUUUGGCAAUACAAACAUAUGGACCCUUUGAUAAUGGUACACAGGACUAUCACAGACUUAGCUUUUCUCUUUACCAUUUGGUCAACCGAGUUGACUAUAGCCGAUCCCUUUCCAUUGGGAAGAGAAUGCUUUACUGGAUAUCCAAUGUCAUCAUUGUCAAUGUCCAUAAAGUUUUAGGAAGUUGAUCUUAGCAAAUAGAUAAGAUCAUUAAGGGUCUUGUCAUAGUCUGUUUCAUAGGUGUCCCAAAGGAACUCACUAUGUGACUUAGAAAGUGGUUGAACCACCAACUUUCUCAAGACUUUGACACCCAACUCUCCCGGCUUGUCAAUAUGUGACUACAUCUCCAAGAUGUGACCACACCUAGACCUUGCCUUGCCAAUAGGGCCUGAGUGACCUUAAACUUUUCAAGAACUUGUGGGUUAGGGAGAAUAAUUUGAAGAGGUGAAGAAGUAUGAUAUCCAUGGGACAUCAUCUUCAUUAGGAAACCUUGUUUCAAGAGAUUUGGGAAGAUCAUAGGUGUCUAAACCAGACAUCUUUUGGGAGAUAUUCAAGAUAGUUGAUUUAAAGUCCUUAAUAUGACACCCAAUAUGAAAUAUUAAGGCUAGGACCCAACAAACUAUUUUAUAACUUAGAAGAGGUAUGCCGUAAUCCAAGCUAUAAAAUAUUUGAAGGUAGGUGAAUGACGAUUCACCAAUUUCCACCAAGAUAAACGAAAUGUAUUAUUAGGUUUUAAUUGGUUUUGAAACUCCUAGAUCUUUGAGAUUCAUUGAACUUUUCAAAGGCAUGUUUCAAUCUCGAGUGUGCCCUUCAGGUUUUGUGACUGGGAUGCCGAGGAUCACAAAACAAGGUGUGAAGUAACCAUGCAAAUCACUUGGUACCCUUAAUAAAUUACCCCUCAAUCGAUGUGCCGGUUAACCACACACGCUCCAUCGAUACUAUGAUAAAUAUUAAGUCACCCUUUACCUACCUUGUUAAGUCCAAGUUAGUGUGCCGGUUAACCACACACGCUCCACUAACGACUUAGACAAAGUGUAAAGUGUAAUUUCAUGGAUUAGCACCUUAUUCACAUUUUUCCUAAGUAACUAAGAUUGGGUAUUAUUAAGAGUUUAGUUACUUAGUAUUAUCAUUAAUACUUUUAAUGAAGGGAGAAUUCUAGUCCUGUCAAACCCGUUCGGCUAACGACCCUCCACCAGUCAAGCAAGCGGUGGGUGAGAGUGGACACCCAUUAAGUUGCCAUUUUAUAGGCAACAACCUUAUACCCACCUUAUAGACCGGCUUCGUGAAUGAGGCGUACUAGCGGUAAGACUGACUUUACUCUUAUACAUAUAUAUAUUAUUAACUUAUAAUAUUAUAAAGUAUAAGGGUUGAAUUUUAACUUUUAAAAUUCUAAGGGCUAACUUGGAAUUAAAGUAUUCAUAAGUGAAAACUUUACAAAUUCCAAAACUUGAGGGCAAGUUUUGAAACUAUUCAAAACUAAUUAAUUCCAUAACUUAUGUGUUUAAAGUAGUUUUAAUCCAAAAACUCUUCAAGUUCCAUAACUUGAGGACAAGUUAUGGAAGACUUUAAACUAAUAAAAGAAUUAACUUUUCUUUAUUUUAUAACUUAUGGAAUUAAUUAAGGUUACACCUUUUUUUAUUUUAUUUUAUUUUAUUAAAUGAAGAGACUCUUGGUCCUCCAUAACUUGAGGACAAGUUAUGGAGUCAUAAAACCAUUUAAUUAGAACUAGACUCUUCAUUUUUGUAACCUUUGCCAAUUUUUAUGAGUUUUAUGAUUCUUAAAUGUGACUUUUCAUAUAACUUGAGGACAAGUUACAAAAACACAUUUUAGAAUCAAUUCUUAGAUUAAUUUGGAUUAAAACCAACUAUCACAUAAUUUUAUUCAUUAAUCUAAAUUCACUCAUAAAACAAGGUAACACAAAAAACUUUUGGUGAUCCAUAACUUAUUCUUAAGUUAUGGAAUCCUUUAAAACAUUAACACCAAAUUUUGUAACUCCAAAAAAACUUUGAAUCAAUUUUUUUUUUAAAACCUUUUCAUAUCCAUAACUUAUGGAGGUUUCAAAAAAUAAAACUCUUUAGAUCAAACUUUUAAAACUAAUAAAAUAAUCAUAUUAUUUUAUCUUUUAUUAAAUUUGACCUAAUUCAACUCAUAAAGCAAAUUAUUCAAAUUUUACAAAUAAUUAGUUUUUCACAAGAACAAGUAAUUAUCUUAAAAUUUGACAAACUUCAUGUUUUUUUUUUUUUUUUUUUUUCAACUUUGAAAAUAAAAUAUUUGCAUCAAUAUAACAGAAAACAACCCGUGGCUCUGAUACCACUGUUGGGUUUUGAGCAUUCUAACACUUCCUAAGUGUACAUGCAACCCUAAAUACCUUGGAUCUAUGUUUUCUCUAUUAUACAUGCAAAUAAGAACAUCCAAGGUAUUAUCCUAAUCUAGCAUACAAAAACUAUGAAUGUAACAAGAUAGAAUACAUACCUCUUGAUGUAGCUUGAUGUCUUCAAGCUUUAAGAGCUUAGCCCCAAUAGUGUGGAAGCCUCAAGUGGAAUCACAAAUCACCAAGACACCUUGGAAUACUUUAGAGAAUAUGAUUACUUGGUUCUCUCUAGUGAAAUUGGCUAGCCCUUCUUUAGUGUAUCCACACUAGUGCCAAUUUCACCAACCAAAGACAUCUUUAUAUAGUAUGGAGGAUUAGGGUUAAACCCUAAUACCCAUGACCUUUCAUUUCCUAGGAUCCAUGGGUUAAACACUCCAUGGACUAUCCAUGAAAGCUUAGCCCAACCUAAAUGAACUUGGCCCAUUCCAUAUAUAUAAGAGUCCAUAUUUAAUUAGUUCCUUUUGAUCACUUAAUUAAUUAUAAAUUAAUUCUUGAUCAAUACUAAUUAAAUAAUAUGAUUCCAUAUUAAUAUAUUAGAACUUAUAAUAUAUUAAUAUUAAUCAUAAACAUACUAUUCUCAAAAGAUUAUCCAUAUAAAUUGUGUCGGUGAAGUGCAACCCAAAUGGACCAUGCCGGGUCGGGUCAAGUACAUACCAAAUAUAGUUAUGGACUUAGACAUUAAUCCAACAUAAAGAACACCGAAAUCGGAGUUAUAACAAAGAAGUUAUGACCCGUCAAAGUUUUGCGACGGAACCGGCACGAUACCGGGAAACGUAAAUAGUGAAUUUACGAUAGAGUGAGAUUUAGCCUUAGCGAUCUAAACGAACGUCAUAGAAUACGUUAAACCGAGAGCAUCCAUAAAAAGAAUGCCCAAAUCUGAUUACGUAUGAAGAAGUAAUCAUUUUUCGAAGUUUCGGAUUAGUAGUGUACAGCCCGAAAUUUGAAUAAUAGACCGAGCGGUUUUAGCCGACACGACCUAAAUGAGAAUCGAAGAUCUCGUUAAGAGUAGCGUAACGAGAAAAAGAUGAGCGAAAACGGACAUCGGAUGAAGAAGUUAUGAGAAUUUUACGGACCAAUCUUGUCCCGGCCUGUUAAUAAUGUAACUUUUAAAAUAAAGUCAAAAUUAGUCGACGGAGUCUAAAAGAAAGUUGUAGAGUACAUUCCCGCCUUCGCGUGGAUAUAAAUAACAUCAAAAACGGAGCUCAUAUACGAAAGAUACGAAUUUUUAAAGUUUGUAGUCGAAAUUGUGAAGUCUAAUAAGAACCUGAUGACGUGGCAGCAUCUGGGCCAUCCGAUGUUGGUUCAGGAGUCACUUCGGAUCACGCCACGUUUCCCUCGCAUACGCCCCGCGUAGCUUCGGUUUCUUAUCCAUUCCAAGGUGCGAGCCAGCUGGAUGCGAGCUGGAGGCUUAUCCGAACUAUGCCCAGCGUAGUCCCGUCCGACGCGCAGCGUAUGUCCGAGGAUCUGGCGCCUAUAAAAGGCAUGCAAAGUUGCCCGAAUUUCUCACACUUUUCUCCACUGUUUCUCUCACUACUUUCUCUCUCUAGCUCCCCUAAAACCCCCUAAAUCCUAGGUAAACCCCCUAGCACCCGAGAGAAGCCCCAAGGCUCCCGGAGUCCCGAGAAAAAGGGUCUUUCGGUUUCGGAAACGCUGCUCCGAGCAAAGCCCGGUUUUCUUUAAAAUCCGCUGUAAGUGAGCUACGCUUGCGCAAUUUUUAAUAUAGCUUUCAAAUAAUUAUAGUAAUGUUAUUAGGUCCUUAAAAUAACUAUUUGGGCUAUUAUUAUGAGUUAUUAAUUUAUCGUGGUUAUUGUUAGACUAAACCCUAGUGGUAUUGAUACUAGGUUUUAUCGAAGGAAAUUGUUUUGAGAGUAUCGAAGCGCUGUCUAAGUGCUGAGUCACCACCUUUCAAGUGAGUGCAUAGUUACUUUCAUCUUACACAUAGAUAUGAAGUAUUUUAUAUAAAUUACGUGCUAUGUGUGCAUAUUAUCUGAAUACUUGUUGUCUAUGCUGGAUGAACGAUUUUAUACAUGUUUUAAAUGAUUUAAGCUGUAUAUGUAUUUUAUAUCUACAAUAAUGUUGGGGAAAAACAUGGGUAGAUAUAAUAGAUGGAAUAUGAGUUUGAUGAUGAGUUAAUAGGUGUUAUAGACCACGAGGUGAGGGUGAAAGGUGGACGAUGUGAGAAGACUUUUCCCAAACGAUGGCCUAACCCCUGAGUUAAGAGGUGUUAUAUGUUCAGUUUUUGCAUGAUAUAAUGAUUUGAUCUGUGAAUAUGCAGACUUGAUGCCUAACCCCUGGCGUCUAUGCAGACUUAGUGCCUCUUGUGUAAACCGUGGCAAAGAUGGACUUCGUGCCGAUUCCUUAGGAUGAUCCUUAGGAAUAAAUGAAUGAGGAAUAGCUGAUUUUUAGGGUAGAUCCUUAAGAAUAAAGAAGAUAAUGGGGAUGGGUAAUUGGGUUGAUUGUUUAAUUGUUUAAACAUAAUAAUUAUAUUAUUGUGGGUUGAAAACCCUAUGUACUCACCAGGUUUCCCAACCUGACCCACUCAGUUUAUUUAUAUCACAGGUGUCGAUAUCAAGUGACAUUACAUUGAGAGAUUAAAGAGUUGUAGAUCACUAGUGUAAAUAAAUGUAAGUUCCGUUUAUGCUUAUGUUCAUGUAUUGACGAUGACAUCCCAAACGUUUUAAAAUGAAUAAAAUACGUUUCUUCGAAAAUGUUUUGAUAACGUAUUUAUCGUAUUGAUUUUUUUUUUUCUGGGAACAAAUUCUGCAACAUUUUUAUGAAAAGAAGUACUCUGAUUUUUACAAAGCAUAAACAUAAUCGGUCAUUUCUGGCCAUGAAAAUGGGGAUGUCACAGUUGGUAUCAGAGCAUUAGUUUAAGAAAACUAGGAAUAUGGAUUUAUUUCUAGACUUAAACUUAUAAUGCUAAGCAAGGAUUGUGAGGUUUGUGUAUAAUAGAUUUAGGUAAUACACCUGAAUAGACACAAGCACUAGCUUAUUUUAGGAAUGAUGUCUAAUUUGCUUUUACGUACUAAAUGAUUUGUUAUGCUUUAUGCUAUAGUUUGAUCGGAUCUAUGGUCUGUUGCUGACCGGAUCUGGAAACCUUAUGUGUUUAGGAUUCUAAACGUACAAAUAUGAUAUUAGAACUAGCAUGUAAACGUUUUGGAGUGAUAAAUAUGAUUUAAAAUGUCUAUCCUAAAUAAAGAUCUAGAUUCACCUUAUUUGGUGUAUAGAUCCAUAUGGCAAGGACCCGUAGCGGAAACGUAAACACAAAUGGAAAUAGGAACCAACCCCCUCAACCUCCAAUGAUACAACAAAUACCUGUUGUCGAAGAAGUGGAACCUGAGCCAAUAACGAUGGCCGGAGUGCAAGUGAUGAUCCAGAUGAUGUUGGAUCGCCAAAUGGAGGAAACAAGGCGCUUACUUCAACAGAACUGGGAAGAACUUACGGUACCAAUUGAACAACCCGAGUUGAAUGAUGGGCAGAUAGAAGGAGGAAACUAUAGUGGGACUGUUGGUCAAGCCAACCCACCAAUAGUUAGGCGAAACCACCAGGAUGGAGGAAAUGACGGACGUGGAUGCAAGUACAAGGAUUUCAUGGCAUCUAAACCCCCGAGUCUUUCUGGAAGCCCAUCACCGGUAGAAGUUAUGGACUGGAUCUAUGAGAUGGAGACGAUGUUUGAGAGUUGUGAGUGUAGCAACAGGCAAAAGAUCGCUCUCACGGUUCCUUUGUUGAAAUCUGGAGUACUAAGCUGGUGGAAGCUACUAGCUGAUUCAAUGCCCAAAGGAGAAGCGAGCAAGAUGUCGUGGGAAGAUUUCCUGGUGCAACUAAAAAUGCAGUAUUGCACUGAGCGGGAUCUUCUGGAGAUCAACAAUGAGUUCAAGAAUCUAAAGAAGGGAAGGAUUAGUGUCAUCGAGUAUGCUGCAAGUUUUACGGAGAAAAUGAAGCUUGUUCCUUAACUAGUUCCAACUGAGCUCUCCAAGGUCAACAAGUUUGCCCAUGGAUUACCAGCAAACUUUGGACAAAUGGUCAAGCAAGCAACCACUUUGAAAGGAGCCAUAUGGGCAGCUAGGAAUGUUGGCACCUAGAUUAGGGAAAAAGGGUCUAAAGAGAGCUGAAGUUGGCGAGAAAAGGAAGCAUGAAGGAUCUUCAAAGUCCAACAAAGAAAGGAAAUUCUCAAAGACUGGAGAAGGAGGAGGAGGUGAGGCCAAGUGGUGCGAGAAGUGUAAAAAGAAGCACUCCGGGAAAUGUAGUGAGGAUGUGACUUGCUACAAAUAUGGAAAGACAGGGCAUUACGCCAGCAAGUGUGCGUCCAACAAGAAGGUGUGCUAUGGAUGUAACAAAGAAGGGCAUAUUUCUAGGGACUGCGCAAAGAAAAACAAGGCAGCAAGACCAAACACACUACCAAGGCCAAGGGCAUUCCACAUGAUCCUCGACGAGGCAGAAAACAACGCGAGGAAUCAAGGAUGAGGACUUCAUAUCUGAAGAUCAAGUUAUGCAGUAGCCAUAGUAUCGUAUGAUGUAGCCUAUUAGAGGCAUAGUCUAGGGUGAACUUGAACACCUAUGUAAUAGUUUCGAGAAAUAAUAAAGCCCUUGUUUUUUUAUCGGAUGUGUUAAACUGUUCUGUGAUUUUCUUGCAUGGUGACUUGGAAAAACUGCGAGACAAUACUUGGGACGAGUAUGAGUAGGUGUGAAAGGUAGUAGAUGCAUAUACUACCAGAAGCACAAGACUCACGCUUGGAUCAGGGAAAGUCACAAGGUUACCAAGAAGCUAGUAAUUCAUUCCGAAUAUGUCGUUACCAUUGUUUCGGUAAAAACUAAGAACAUGAUUAUUACUCCGACCCUAGUGGUCAUAUCAAAUUGAGUCUGACUACAAUAAGUAUGUUACGUGGUUCAGAGAAUCAAGUUCGAUGUACCAUCUGACUUAAGACGGAAGAUUGGAAUAAAAAGCGAUCAGUAGAGGUAUCACGAAAAGUUGAUUGUAGCUAGAAAUGCUACCUUUUAAAAUGUGAUUAUCUCACAUUAGAACAUGAAGGAUGGUAUAGUCAAUUUUGGAAUUUAACUCUAAGAGACCUGAGUCUAAACGUGCAUCACAUGAUGGUAGGUCAUAAUUUGGAGUCUAACCUGAGAUAGAAAGCAGGUGCACGAUCGAGUACUACUUACAGCCAAUAAGUCUAAGAGAUAGACUUGAAGGAAUGUAGAAAUUACAAUUAUUACCUAGGAUGAAUAGAUGACGUAUGGAGUCAUUAUACGAGCCCUGUUUUGUUGAUGAUUCCGGGACGUAAACAUCCUAAGGGGGAGAUACUUGUAACGCACGUAGAUCCGGGCUAGUCAAAUUAGAGGCAAUUAGUGUCGAAAACGAAUUUUUACAAGGUUUCUGUACAUAUAAAGAACGCCGAAAUCCGAGUUAUCACGAAGAAGUUAUGACCCGUCGAAGUUUCGCGACGGAACCGGCACGAUAUCGGGAAACGUAAAUAGUGAAUUUACGAUAGAGUGAGAUUUAGCCUUAGCGAUCUAAACGAAGGUCGUAGAAUAUGUUAAACCGAGAGCAUCCAUAACAAGAACGCCCAAAUCUGACUACGUAUGAAGAAGUUAUGAUUUUUCAAAGUUUCGGAUUAGCAGUGUAUAGCCCAAAAUUCAGAUAAUAGACCAAGCGGUUUUAGCUGACACAACCUAAACGAGAAUCGAAGAUCUCGUUAAGAGUAGUGUAACGACAAAAAGAUGGGCGACAACGGACGUCGGAUGAAAAAGUUAUGAGAAUUUAACGGACCAAUCAUGUCCCGGCCUAUUAAUAAUGUAACUUUUAAAAUAAAGUCAAAAUUAGCCAACGGAGUCUAAACAAAAAUUGUAGAGUACGUUCCCGCCUUCGCGUGGAUAUAAAUAACGUCAAAAAUGGAGCUCGUAUGCAAAAGAUACGAAUUUUUAAAGUUUGUAGUCGAAAUUACGAAGUCUAAUAAGAACCUGAUGAUGUGGCAGCAUCUGGGGCAUCCGAUGUUGGUUCAGGAGUCGCUUCGGAUCACACCACGUUGCCCUCGCAUACGCCCCACGUCCAAAGAAGUUACGCCCCGCGUAGCUUCGGUUCUUAUCUAUUCCGAGGUGCGAGCCAGCUGGAUGCGAGCUAGAGGCUUAUCCGAACUACACCCAGUGUAGUCCUGUUCGACGCACAGCGUAAGUCCGAGGAUCAGGCGCCUAUAAGAGGCAUGCGAAGUUUCCCGGAUUUCUCAUAGUUUUCUCCACUCUUUCUCUCACUACUUUCUCUCUCUAGCUCCCUAAAACCCCCUACACCCUAGGUAAACCCCCUAGCACCCGAGGGAAGCCCCGAGGCUCCCGGUGUCCCGAGAAAAAGGGUCUUUAGGUUUCGGAAACGCUGCUCCGAGCAAAGCCCGAUUUUCUUUAAAAUCUGCUAUAAGUAAGCUACGCUUGCGCAAUUUUUAAUAUACCUUUCAAAUAAUUAUAGUAAUGUUAUUAGGUCCUUAAAAUAAUUAUUUUGGCUAUUAUUAUGAGUUAUAUCGAGUGUUAUUUAACGCUUAUAUAAUAGUAAUAAUAGUCAGACUCUUAAUUUGUCGCGGUUAUCGUUAGACUAAACCCUAGUGGUAUUGAUACUAGGUUUUAUUAAAGGAAAUUGUUUUGAGAGUAUCGAAGCGCUGUCCGAGUGUUGAUUCACCACCUUUCAAGUGAGUGCAUAGUUACUUUCAUCUUACACAUAGAUAUGAAGUAUUUUACAUAAAUUACGUGCUAUGUGUGCAUAUUAUCUGAAUACUUGCUGUCUAUGUUGGAUGAACGAUUUUAUACAUGUUUUAAAUGAUUUGAACUGUAUAUAUGUAUUUUUUAUCUACGAUAAUGUUGGGGGGAAACAUGGGUAGAUGUAAUAGAUGGAAUAUGAGUUUGAUGAUGAGUUAAGAGGUAUUAUAGACCACGAGGUGAGGGUGAGAGGUGGACGAUGUGAGAAGCCUUUUUCCCAAGCGAUGGCCCCGUCAUUCAGCGGAGUAUGGAUGACAACCACAGACUAUUCUAGACAGUCCAGUGGAACACUAGCAGGCUCGCAACCUGUAGGUGUUGUGAACGAUGUGUUCACCCGGUGUACUCUAAACCUUGGCGACCAUGCAGACUUGGUGCCUAAACCUUGGUGAUCGUGCAGACUUGAUGCCUAAACCCUAGCGACUAUGUAGACUUAGUGCCCCUUGUGUAAACCUUGGCGAUCAUGCAGACUUGAUGCCUAACCCCUGGCGACUAUGCAGACUUAGUGCUUGUUGUGUAAACCGUGGCAACAAUGGACUUCGUGCCAAUUCCUUAGGAUGAUCCUUAGGAAUANNNNNNNNNNNNNNNNNNNNNNNNNNNNNNNNNNNNCCUUAAGAAUAAAGAAGAUAAUGGGGAUGGGUACUUGGGUUGACUAUUUAAUUGUUUAAACAUAAUAAUUAUAUUAUUGUGGGUUGAAAACCCUAUGUACUCACUAGGUUUCCCAACCUGACCCACUCAGUUUAUUUAGAUCACAGGUGUCGAUAUGAAGUGACAUUACACUGAGAGAUUAAAGAGAUGUAGAUCACUAGUGUAAAUAAAGGUAAGUUCCGUUUAUGCUUAUGUUCGUGUAUUGACGAUGACAUCCCAAAUGUUUUAAAAUGAAUAAAAUACGUUUCUUCGAAAAUGUUUUGAUAACGUAUUUAUCAUUUUUUUUUCUGGGAACAAAUUCCGCAACAUUUUUAUGAAAAGAAGUACUCUGAGUUUUACAAAGCAUAAACAUAAUCGGUAUUUUCUGGCCAUGAAAAAUGGGGAUGUCACACUCUCUAAAAUACAACAUAAAAUAUCAGAUAUCCACUCGAGCAUACUCGCACUCGAUAACACAACCCUACUUGUUCCCUAGUACCCUAAGGAUUCUUACUUGGAUUGAGCACUGCGACGGUGUCUUCGGUAGUACGGGCCCUUAGACUACCGUCCACACUGCAUCAGUAUUCACCCCAUGUCCUCCUCCUUGGAUCCCAGAUCACAAGUACUCUACAUCUCACUAGCAUAGGCUACCCUUCGGUAGACCUCUCAUAAGCUCCUCACUGCUACCUACUCACCUUCAAGCAUCUAAUAGUAGAAGAAAUCUUCCUAGGCUAAGGCAUCACAAAUGAGACCACUCUAGUCCUAAUAUGUAUACCUAGCCUACUCUAGCAUGCAUAUCAUAUCAUAACAUAUCUCAUAACACAUAAUGUAAGGGUAUUUUGGGAAAUCACCGUUUGGGCGCUGGCUGAUCGUACACACUACUCCGUUCUGCCUUUCUCAAAAUCUUUACUCUCUUGGAAAAAUUGUUUAGUGUAUGAAAAACUUACUCAAAUACUCAGCUUGAGUUUAGAUACACCCGAAGAUGCACUCGAAUCCCUCAAACCAAGGCUCUGAUACCAACUUGUAACAACAUAAAUUUUUAAAACAAUUUUUCAUUUUUAAAAUCAUAUUUUCAAUGACCAAAAACAAUAUCCAACAACUGUAUCUAAUGUCAUCAUAACAAACAAAUCCCAGAAUCUCGAAAUAUCUCAACUACAUAAAUACCCUCAGUGUAUACGGAUCAUGUCGGCAGCUUCCCACGGUCCUCGCUAGUACCUGAAACAUCCAACACAACAACUGUAACCAUAAAUGCUUAGUGAGUUCCCCAAAAUACCACAUACAACACAUACGCCUUUCCAGGCCAUAACUCUGUGGGACCUUCCGGCCCAAGUGUCUCAGGAGAAUUCUGUCCCAUAUCCCGGUAGACCUUCCGGUCCUACCCAUAUCGAGCUUCUGAUCCGUAACCUCCUGACCUUCCGGUCCAUGUCCUCUUGACCUUCCAUCCAUAUCAUCUUGACCUUCCGGUCCCUAUCAUACAUAGCAUACAUAACACAUACAUAUCACAUAUCAGCAUAUAGCACAUAUAAGACCUUUCGGUCACACAUAGGUACCCUUUUAGGUACAAUAUUGUGAGAAGACUCACCUCGGCUAUCUCGGAUAAUCUCGCACAUGGAUACACUAAUCUAGCCUCCGCCUAAACACAUAAACAAUUAUCUCAAAUCAAUAACGGCUCUUCAGGCUAGACUAGUCUCUUCCAUGUCCUCUAAGAAGGCUAAAAGACCAUUUUACCCUUCAAAUGGUCUUAGAGCUCAAUUGUUGACCAAACCCUAAAAGUCAACAAAAGUCAACGGUCAAACUUUGACCAGACUCGUCGAGUGCACUCAUGCGACUCGAUGAGUCCAUGCAUGUCCUCUUCGCCCUUGGUCCUCACUCGACUCGCUUAGUCAACCCUACACUCAACGGGUUAUCACAAGUUGCGAAUCUUGGGGCAACCCGACUCGACUCGGCGAGUCCCUUAUGGGCUCGGCGAGUUCCUCCCAUAAAAACACUCAAACAAUCCUUUGAGGUCAGAUCUGCUUCACCAACCAAUAGAUCUAACCUCCUAACACUUGAAAGUCACGUAAAGGUUCAAAAUUUACGUUCAUGCAAUGCUUAUAAGACCAAAAAUGGAGAAAUAACCUUUAAAAUGGGGUUCUACUCUCAUGGCUCACAUGAAACUCCAUAAAGCUGGAAGCUUGGGACCUUUUAGACCUCUCAAGGUCCAGAUCUAUCAUCUAUACCAAAAGGGACCCAAAAUGAUUCACAAUCCAACUCAAAAUGGCACAAAGGAAACCCUAUAUUCAAGGAAUCUAUCAAAUACACGAAAUGGGAAGGAACUUGUACCUCAAAACGUGAAUCACAUUGUGACAACACAGAUCCAAGCUCCACAAUCGAUCUAGCUUAGAUCUUCCCAAUCCUUCUUGCAAGAUCACACCAAAGGAUGAAGAAUUAGCCUUCAAAAUUCUCUCUAAGCUCUCUUUUCUCUCUAGGGUUUUCACAGGGGAGUAAUGGCCACAAAUGACUGCCAUAAUGGCCUUUAAAUAAGGCUCAGGCCCGAAGAUUUCGGGUUUCACUUAACAGCGCAAACUCGUUGAGUCCACUCAUCAACUCGUCGAGUCCGGUCAUUAAUCCAGACAGAAUUCGCGAUCCUGAUCGGCGAUUCUGAGCGCCUACUCGCCGAGUCCGUCCCUAAAUCUCAAGAUAAAUACUUAAAAUAAGAUACCUGGGAAUCCGGAUGUUACAGACACAUUUUGGGACUCAAUUAUGGGGUUUGGACAUCUGGAUUUAUGCAUUAAGAACUUAAUGGAAGGUUUGGCUCAUUGGGUGUGUAUGCUGGGCGUACAAGUCUAUACGCAUAGCGUACAAGCCAAACAACAAGUACUUUAAGCGUACAGAAGAUUACGCCCCGCGUACUCCGUCAGGAAGGUUUUGCAUGUUGGGUUUCGAUUUAGGCUAUCUGUUGGGACCUGUUGGGCCAUCGGGUUUUGGGUUGUUAAUUAUUUUGUGAUGGCCUACAAUGGGUUUGGGCCCAAUUUGGAAAAUUGGGCCAUGGAUUAGGCCUUGGUUGAUUUUUUGUAGUUCGGCCUUGUGGAUUAUAUGGUUUGGGCCUAAGUCUUGGUCCGAACUAGGUGAGGGGUCAAUUCGUGUAUUUAUCCAGGGUAUAGAUUACGGAUAUAUAUUGGGACCCAAAUGUUGAUUUGGUGUUGUUUUGAUAUUGACAUUUCGGGGACCUGUCCGCCGACAGCCGAGGAUUUUCUGUGUGAUUCGGUGGUUCCAGGUGAGUCUCCUCACUAUGUUUAGCGGGUCCAAGGUACCAAUAUCGGCCCAUGAUUUGUUAUGCCUAGUAUGCUUGUUGUAUGCAUGACUCUUGUAUGUGUUAUGCAUAUUACGUUUACCGAGCAGGGCUCAAUGUCGGGUGGGGCCUGAAGAGUAUAUGGUAUGCUGGUUAUCUUUAGGUAUUUUUAUGAUUACUAGGUACGACCCGAUGCCGGACGGGACCCGAAGGCUAGUCUGUAUGCUAUUUAUCUUUGUGAUUAUGGCAUGUGUUGUGUGUUCAUAUGUUUAUAUGUUUAUAUGUUAUAUGUUAUAUGUUUAUAUGCUUAUACUGGGCGGGGGCCCGAUGCUAGGCAGGGCAUGAUGAUUGACAAAUCUGUAUACCGAGUGGCGCUUGAUGUUGGGCGGGGUCCGAUCACGGACAUGGUCAGAUGCCGGGCAGAGCCCGGUGACAGGACGGGGCCCAUUAUGUGUUUAUUUAUUUAUGUAUGGUAUGUGGUAUUUUAGGGAACUCAGUAAGCUUUGUGGUUACAGUUUUCAAUUAUGUUUCAGGUGCUUCAAUUCUUAAAAAUGGAAGAGCUCGGGAUUAUUUUAGGGCACGUACACCAUGUUUCCGCAUCCUGUGAUUUACUUUGGUUUAAUGAUGUUUUGCUAAAUCUUAACUACCUUGGUUUUAUGGAAAUGAUAUGUAUUAAUGAUUUAUUAAUCUAAAAACAAAAAUUUUAUCUCAUUAUUUUUGGGACAUUUCAAACUGGUAUCACAGCCUUGAUUUGAGAGAUUCGGAAACACUCUCAGGUGUGUCUGCACUCAAACUGAGGAUUUCGAAAGUUUUUCAGAAAGAAAUAUAUUUUUAAGAAAAAGACUUUUCUAACGGUAGAAAGUGUGUGGUGCAUGCGUUCAGUCGAGUUCAAGUAAUUUUUCCCAAAUUACACAUAUAUGUUAUCUGUUAUGAUUUGAUCUGUGAAUAUGUGAAUUGCAUGCUAGUUAGGGCUAAGGAUAUGUUCAGUUUUUGCAUGAUAUAAUGCUAGGAGAGAUGCCUUUGUAUGCCUAUUGAAUGAGCUUGUAGACUUGGAUGCUAGUUCUGAUUAGCCAGUGAUAGGUUGGACUGAUAUGUGAUGCAUGGUAGCCUAGGAAGCAUGAGAUGCUAGUUUGAGCAUGAUUUGGAUGUGUAAGGAAAUCAGUAAGCGAGAGUGGGGGCUCCUAGUAUGGUUUGUAGUAUGUGGGAUUGGAUGUUCAUGAUUAUCCGGUGGAUUGGAGUGUUUCUGCACAAAUGUUGCUAGCUUUAUACUUUGUGGAAAUCUUAGGUGAUGGGAGUUAACCACUAAGUGAAUAUAGCAAGUCACAUGUGACAAGGGUUUAAUAAUCUCAGAGUGAUGGACUUGACCCUAUUACGCGUCUGAGUCCAGCCAUUAUAGGGAUGAUUCUGUUACUCGAAGGAUUAUCUAAUCAUUUUUGCAUGUGAUUUUAUUCAUGAGGUCAGUAACUAGCAUUAUAGGGAGUUCUUCAGCUGCUAAUGGCAGGGUGAGGUCGGAAACCUAGGAAACCUAGGAGAGCGUAGGGAUUGUUUCGGUGGGGUCUUUUUGCACUGGCUAGCGAGUGUUUGACGUACGGAUUUGACAAGGUGACUUAGAGGAUUCAAGAGGAUUCUUGAGGAAAGUAUGGAUAUGUAUGGAAGGUAGUAUUGGGCCCAUACUGCUGAAAGCAUAGGAUCCAUACUCGAAUUGGGAAGAGUCUUGGAAAAUCUAGGAAGCCUAUGGGAUGUGGAUUCUUGGGUAUAUUCGGCUCUUUUGUAUGUUGUUAUCAGUAUGGUGUUGAGCAGUCAGAAAUGGGGUUCAGGUUAUGGUUGUGGCUCAGGUGCAGGUACUGAGUCGAUCGAUGCAUUCAUGCGAGAGUUCAUCUCAUCGGAUAUUACUUAUUGUAUGUUGGAAUGGGUCUCAGGAGUCUUUGAUGCAGUCAAAGAUAGGAACUUGGAGCUCUUGGAUGGUCAUCUCGGGGCCUUUCGGUCCGAGAUUGUAGUAGAGAAAUUGGGGGCUCAUGUGGAGCCCAAAGCUUGUGGAUCCCUAUAAGUUUUUAUGAAGGAGGACCUUAUUUGUUAGUUUUUGUAAGUGUGAAUCGAGAGUGAUUUUUUCACCAUUUUCUCAGGAAGAGGAGGGUAGGAUUCCUUCAAAUACUUUUACGGGUAUGUCAUCUUAUGUUUUUUUCUGGGUUGUUAUUGGGAAUUUGUAUUGCAUUGGAAUUUUGCUUGGGUUUGGGUAAGUUAUAUCUAGGUUUGGUCUUCUGCUAUUGUCUGGGUUAUAAUAGACUGGUAUAUGACAUUCUGCAUGCCGAGAGUCUUCGAUGAAUCUUUAGAGAGUUGUAUCUUGUCGAGCGGGUUUCAAUGUAUUCUGUUGUUGAUCCGGGUCUUUGUUAGGAUUAAUUUAGGGGUAUUUCUUGAAGUAUAUUUGGUCAUGGUUAGCAGGUUAGUUCUCCAAGGAAGUCAGUAUUUAGCGGUUUUAUCAUUUGUUCUGGUAGGAUCGACGGUUGCCUAUGGAAGAACUAUUGGGUUUAAGUGUUCGGUUUUGAGCAUUCUAACACUCCUAAGUGUGCAUGCAACCCUAAAUACCUUGGAUCUAUGUUUUCUCUAGUUUACAUGCAAAUAUGAAUAUUCAAAAGUAUUACCCUAACUAGCAUACAAUCUUUUGAUACUUGAAUAACAAACUAGAUAGAAAUACAUACCUUGUUGAUGUAGCUUAACUCCAUGAAGCUUGAGAGCAUAGUUCCCCAAGUGUGACACCUCAAAUGGUUCAUACAACAUCAAAUACACAUGAAAUAACUUACAGAGAAAUGAUACGCUUCAUGAAAUCGGCUAGCCCUCACCAUUCCUUCAUAGUGUCUCAUGGUGGCCGAUUUUGACAAGAAUAAGAUGCUUAUAUAGUGUGUCACAAUUAGGGUUACACCAUGUAAACCCUAAUUGUCAUGGCCUUUCAUUUCCAUGAUCCAUGGGUACAAAAACACCAUGGAGCAUCCUAUGGGUUUUAGCCCAACUUGAUAAUGCAUGGAGCAUUAGCCCACUAUACAAGUAUGGAUGACUUACACAAUCAACCCAUAUAUUUAAUUAGUCUCCUUUUAAUCACUUAAUUAAUUCCAAGUUAAUUCUUGAUCAAUACUAAUUAAAUAAUCUUAUUAAUAUAUUAGAACUUAUAAUAUAUUACCAAACCUUAAGUGUUAUUUCUCUCCUUUUAGUCUAUCCAAAUGCAUGAUGCCAUGCAACCCAAAUGGACCAUGUUGGGUCAGGUCAAGUACAUACCAAAUAUAGUUAUGGACUUAGACACUAAUCCAACAGUCUCCCACUUGGAUAAGUCUAAAACUAUUGUGUAUGACUUUAAAAACCAACUGGCAAUCGUAGCUCUCAAAAGUCGUUGUUGAACUCUGAUCUUUGUCAAUGACUUGUCCAUUAGAUAAAAGAUCAUAUAUUCCUCCAUUCUAGAUAUCAUAUGGACUGAGACAUUUGUUGUAUCCCGAUUUCCAAUUCAUGGUGACUGACUGAUUGAACAGAUCAAAUCAAUCUUGGCUUGGCCAAGCACUUACAUGUGUCAUCAUUAAAUCAUCAAGGGGCCCAUAGAUAUCGCUUUUAUCCCGAAGGUAAAAGGAAUGGAUAAACUUCGAAUCAUAUGGCUUGUUCUACUACUUGUUGAAUCAAACACAAAGGCACAUUUUAUAACAUCGACUUACCAAUGCGGUUUCGUGCAAUCAAUGUAUAAACAACUCAUAGUAAUAACACAUAUCUCUAGGUUUGAAGAAUAUAAGAUAUUAUCAUCUCAUGAUCACUCGUGAUAAAAUCCAUGAAGUGAUUCCAAUGAGCGCGGGUUGAAUCCAAUACUCAGAACUUAUGAGCACUCAUGAGUGUUGUAGCACCACUUUUUCCAACACCUUAGACCUCUACAAGCCAAUCCAUGACAGUCUUGAUUCAUAUCUACUUCCAACAUAUGACCGACUGUGGAUGGUUUGAAAAACAUAGUCAAUCAGGAAGAACAACCUAGUUAUUCUGGAAGUCAAAAAAUGCAAAGUGAAACACAAGAAUAAUCGAAUCUAAUAUGGUCUCAGAACUUAUGAAUAUAAUUAAAACAUCUUUUAUUUAUAACCAUAUUGAUUACCCAUCAUUUAAUGCAUACUAUUUCAGACUAUCAACUUUAU
Molecule: long non-coding RNA, 20431 nt
Filed under: Lactuca sativa (garden lettuce)
Lineage: Eukaryota; Viridiplantae; Streptophyta; Magnoliopsida; Asterales; Asteraceae
Description: long non-coding RNA (LSAT_LNC001650)
Source: RNAcentral